UGGCGGACGGGUGAGUAAUGUCUGGGAAACUGCCCGAUGGAGGGGGAUAACUACUGGAAACGGUAGCUAAUACCGCAUAAUGUCUACGGACCAAAGCGGGGGACCUUCGGGCCUCUUGCCAUCGGAUGUGCCCAGAUGGGAUUAGCUAGUAGGUGGGGUAACGGCUCACCUAGGCGACGAUCCCUAGCUGGUCUGAGAGGAUGACCAGCCACACUGGAACUGAGACACGGUCCAG
This 235-nucleotide ribosomal RNA is filed under the name uncultured bacterium. Its description in RNAcentral is "partial 16S ribosomal RNA". It matches the Rfam family "Bacterial small subunit ribosomal RNA", at positions 96 to 334 of the family's 1533-position model. The record is from RNAcentral.